GUAGAAACAUCUGUUUUAAAAUAUAAGGUAGUAGUUUCGAAAACAUAGCCGCCGAUUUUCAUUAGUGAUAACAAAGGUUAAAUUUAAUUAACGGUUAAUUAUACUAGAACAAAUUUCUCUCGACUGUUCUAUUUGCUUGGAACGGCUCAAUAUACCAAAAACGCUUCCCUGUGGACACACGUUUUGAUUACGGUGACUAGAAGAUCUAGUAAGGCAUACUCUUUCAAGGCAGUAUAGUUCUUCAAACGACAUCGGAUGUCCCAACUGUCGAGCCACACAUAGCAUUCCGUCAACUGGUGUAGCCGGUUUUGACACAAAUUACGAUUACGAGCACCAUCAAGAAGCCGACCGCCAGAAUUUGGUUUCCAACCAAGUAUGAGCAGAACAUCAGUCUGGGGGAAUUGCUUGAUUGUUGGCAUCUGUGGAAUUAUUGCCGGCAUCUGUGAGUUUACAAGAAGAAUAAGACGAAUGGAACAGCGUGCUCUUCUGAAUGAUUCUUGUUCAUGGUACUGCUUAUCUAUAUUCAUAUGCGAAUUUGUUACCUCCAGUCUAUUCGUUGCAGGGGCAGCGAAGUUGUCAUCAAACUGUGGUCUUGAACAUGAAGCUGCAGUAUUCUUGUUUAUUAGGAUGUGCGUUGAUGCCGUUUUCUGGGGAGCACAUAUUGUAUGGAUCUUCAGACGGAAAACUAAAAAACUACCAAAUUACACUUUUAUACAUAUAUAUAUAACCUGGUUAUUUGUUGGAGCGAUAUAUAUGUGGGGAAACUUCUGCAACUUUAGCAAGGAAUGCCCCGGCUCUGGUUUCCAUUUUAUCAAACUUGCCCUGUCUCUUACAAUUUUUGAUUUCAUUGGACUUAUUGUGUAUGAUUUUUAUGUGUUUACGUCCAUCAUUUAACUAAAGCAUUUUCAGUGAAAGUUCGUUAGGUACCAUUUUGUAACAUUUUACUUUCCUUUUUCUAUCUAUUCCACCGUGUAAAUCGAGUAAAGCAGGAAUGUGAAACUUUCGCAGAAAUCACGCAAAGGAACGCCUCAAUCUGUGAAAAGCUAUUUCCGAAACAAGAAACACAAUGAGUAUACGGACGAAAAUAUUUGAGUGAAUUUAAUUAAAAGAAAUGAAUAAGUUCAAAAAGCUGCUAUGACAUUAUACUUUAAUCAGCAUAACAACUAUUUGAAGGAAUAUGUUAACUUUCUGAGAUCAUUCGUGAAAUGACUGCCUGGCUACCGUUGUAAAAGCGACCUUUUUGUUUCACCGAUAUAUAUUACAGGAGGAUGAACGUUUAAGCUUACACGCAAAACGCACGCUCCGGAAAAAACGCACGCACGUUAGACGCUAUACGAACGAUCGUAACACGCAAGCUUUACGAAACGAAAUACGCAGAUGAUAGCUACGCAAUCAUGUAUUUCAAACGGGUCUGUGUUAGAGCUAUAAUGCACUCAACCUGGCACAACAUUAUCUUUGUCGCGCAGCCUCAACAAAUGAUUUUUGACAUUAUAAACUAUCAUGCGCUUAUAUCAAAAAAUAACUGAACGGGUUCGUCUUUAUGCACAUUUCUGAAAAAAAUAAUUUGCUUUAGCCCAGAAAUCUCUUAGAUAGACGUUAAUUACGUCGAUACCGCUUCUGGCGUAAACAAAAUAAAACGGAUAUGGUAGAAACUUUAGCAAAUUAGCGAUCAAACUAUCAAGUCAUUUACAUAGAAGCGAACGAAAUUAAUAUGACAUUUGUAAACAAAAGGAAAACAUACUUUGCAGACCGGCAGCCCAACAUAUUUUCAAGCUAUAUGUUUUAGGACUUUACACCUCCUGGACGUUUAGGCCAUGAACGUUUCGGCCUUAAAACCACGGUCUUUUCGUCACCUUUUUUUAAAUUUGAUAAAUAUAUUAAAUAAAUACCAUGUAUUAUGGGUUAUAAUAUUAUAUAACACAUACUUGCAAACAAUUGUAUUCAUGAUUGAUAUAAAGAAGAUUUUUUGGUGAUAAAUAUAAUGAAAUUUCCCUGGGAAAAUAAUAACUGAUAUGAUAUUUUAUAUGAGUUCUGAAAGAAUUAUCAGCUAUAAAUCUACAUGUAUAUAUUUAUUCAUUCUUUUUGUUAUCAAAAAAAAAAAAAAUACCAUUAAAAGACAUUGAUUAAAAUAUGUUUUUUUAUAUAACAGGUAAGAACAAUUAGAAGUGUGAAAAAAAAUGAAUAAAGCUAUAUUAUUUUAAUUAUUAUAAACACUGGUUUAUUAUUAAGAACCUUUAAUUUAUAAGUGUGUAACUGAUACUAGGUAACAAUUACAUCGGUGAUGUGUCCCCACAAGCCUUAUGAAAUUUAAUGAAUAAUUGUAAAAUAUUAAGAAUAAUUAAACUUUCAUUUUGGGCCCGAAACUGUAAGUGAGAAAAAAAUGAGGAAAAUGAAGAAACCUGUCAACUUCAUGCACCUCCAUAAGUGCCAGCUAGGAGGGGAGGAGUGUGGGACUCCAAUAAUUUUUGAAUCAUGUGUAAACUAUAAAGUAUAUUGAUUUACCAAAAGAGCGGCGCAUCAUAAAAUAUCUUUCAUAGCAGUUGAAAUUGAAAUUUGUUGACAUUAUAUGCAUUUAAUAUGCAACAUUAAAUGCCUAAUACCUUCCUUUUUUGUUACUGUCACAAGUUUUAAAAAAGGCGCUGUCUUACCAGGACUUGAACCUCAAUUCUGCCGCUCAACCGACUGAACUAUAUUGUAUUAGCCUGUAUUCUAUUAUUGAAAUUCGUUCUUGAAUGGGUACAGUGAACAAUGUGAAAUAGGACUUUUUUAAAGUUUUAUACCAUCCAUCACUGUCCCCUUUGGAAUAGGUGAUGGUAUGAAACUUAAAGACCAAUUUCUCAUUGUUUUAUUACUUAUCGUUGGGAGUCAAAUGUCAAAAGGUGAGAAAAAUAUGCAGCCUGACUGGGACGUAAGCCAGGGACCCCUGGAAUACUGUCCCGCAGCUGACUACCGACUAAGCUAUCAGUCCGCUUGCACAUCUUCUUCCCUCAAUAAUGAACAGUUCUAAGCUGUGACUUUACUAUAAAGAAUUGAAUAAAUCAUUUUUACGGUAUAUUUUUGUGAUUCCAUAUACCAUGCCAGUAAUGGAUCUCUACUCCAAAUAAACUAUUGUAUUAUAAGUGCAGGGACAGGGAAGGCUGAUAGUGGAUCUGCACACCUCUGUCUGUCCUGGUUUUGGGCAUCAUAGGAAAUUUGCCAUACCUUUUUAUUAUUCAAUGAAAUUUGGUGGAUUUAUUUCAUAAUAAUCAAACAGAUGUAAUUGUUACUCAAUAUUAUAGUAAUAUGUUGCCUUACUAACUUGGUUUCAUUUCCUAGGAGGUUAUAAUAAGGUAAAAUUAUCCCAUUUUUUAAAGAUUUAAUGUAUUUGCUUGAUAGAAAGUUUACCUUAACUUCAUAGUCAAUAUAAUUCAACUGGGCUUUCUUAUUUAAGCCAAUUAGAUGUAUUAGUUACUUGAUAGUAUAACAUUAUGUGGCUUUACUAACUUUGUUUCAGUGACCAGAAGCUUUAAACUAGGUAAACUUACCCCAGUUUUCAAUGAUUUAGUGUGGUGAAGUUAUUAAUAAGGCAUCAUAGAAAAUAAGCCAUAAUUUCUUAAAUUUUCAAUGAAAUUUGUUCUUAUAUAAGUCAAUUUGAUUUAGGUAUUACUUAAUAUUAUAAUACUAUGUUGCUUUACUAACUUUGAUUUAUUUACCACGAGGUUAUAAUCAGGUAAAAUUAUCCCCCAUUUUUAAUGAAUUAGUGUGUUAGCUUGUAUAGUUAUACAUCAUAGGAAAUUAGCCAUAUUUUUUUAAUAUUCAAUUAAAUUUAUUAAGAUAUUCUUAUUUUUAUCAAUUAGAUACAUGUAUGUUUGUUAAUUAAUAUAAUAGAUUUAUCUUGCACUUAUAACUCUGUUUCAUUUCCUAGGCUUUUAUAAUACGGUCAAAUUCCCCAUUUUGUAGAGAAUGUGUACUAUUUUAAGACAGUUAGGCAUCUUAGGAAAUUUGCCAUAAUUCUUAUAUUUUGUAAUGAAAUUUGGUGGAACUUCCUUAGUUUUGUCAAUUAGAUAUGUUUGUUAGUUAAUUUACAUGUCGUAGAUUUAUGUUGCACUUAUAGCUUUGUUUAACUUCCAAAUCUAUUAUAAUAAGGUAAAAUUUUCAUAUUUUGUAGUGAUUUAGUGUAUUAUCUUGGACAGUAAGGCAUCUUAGGGGAUAUGCCAUAAUUCUUAUAUUUUGUAAUAAAAUUUGCUAGGACUCCCUUAUUUUAGUCAAUUGAAUAUGUUUGUUAAUUAAUAUAAUAGAUUUAUGUUAUAUGAAAAACUCUGUAUCAUUUCCUAAGAGGUUAGGUUUAAGGUGAAAUACCCGGUGUAUCGACAUUUUAUGCGCUUUCUUUAAUAGUUGGGGUCCAAAUGGAAUUUUCUAUAACAUUUGGAAUUUAAAUGGAGAAUUAUUGGAAUCUUCUUUUUUAAGUCAUCUAAUUAAAGCUUUUAAUUAAUAAAGUUUAUUUUGAUUGAGUUAUCAAUUACAUUUCUUUUCAUAGAGAUCUCGUAUUAUUCCCUUUUUAAUGAAUUGACCUACCUAUGAAGCAUGAAAUUGAUAUUGUAGGAAAAUUUAUACAAUCAAUUGAAAUUGUACAAGUCGCAAGGGAUAUUAGUAUGCAAAAUGGGUACCAAUUAACCUGUUCUUACAAAUUUAUAUACUGGUUUCAACAUCCAGUUCUCAGACUGAGUCAAUUCCACUACAGACUCCUGAUAGAGUGGGUGUUUGCUUGCACUCUUGAAUAAAUUUGUGGACUAAAUUUUAUGGUGGCUGAGUUGGUAAUGGGACAUUCCGGACAAUGGACAUUUCCUAUCAGACACGUAAAACCAAAUUUUGGGACACUCCGGAACAGAUUAUUGGACAUUUCGAACCAGAUAUUUGGACACUUUGGCCCAUACAUUGGACACUUCGGACCAAUCUUUUAGACACUUUAUACUUAUGUAUGGGAUGUAUCGGACCAGAUUAAAAUAUAUUUUUUUGUUAUAUACAUGUAUAUCGUUAUUUUUACAAAGACCUGGAAAAACGACAAAAUGCCAUGAGCGCCGGACAAAAAUAGAACAAAACUUCUUAGUCGUAAUUUCAAGUUUUCAAGUUUUCGUCUUGUGCCUAGGGAAGAAAAAGUACGACAUGGUACAUAUUAGCCACCAUAGAAUUUUCUUAUCUAGGAAAAAAAGGUUAGCUAUUUUUAUUUGUACAAAAAUAAAGAAAUAGUACAACUAUCAAUAAAUGUCUCAUUCCAUUUUAGUAAACAAUAAUUAUAAAACUCGUAAUAUAUUUUAUUGUAAUUUUUGUCAAGAGUGUGUGUGUGUGUGUGUGUGUUUUUUUUUCAAAUUGUAUUAAUUUAGAAUUUAUUUACCUGUUUUUUUUAACUAUUCAGCCGUAUUUGUCACGAUUUAGAGGUGGUCACUAUUAAGCACAUACAAUGUGUAAGCGGCCGGACAGCUCAGUCGGUACAGCCGCGUAACGGUAUUCUGAGGGUCACGGGUUCGAGUCCACAUUUUUCUCACCCUGGGACUUACAUUAUCACCCUGUGACUUGCAUAUACAGUAGGUUUACAACUAUUCUGUAUUUAAACACAUAAAAUGUAUAAGCAGCCGAAUAGCUCAUAGGGAAGAGCCGCGGAAUGGUAUUCCGAGUUUCAGGGGUUCGAGUCCCUGCCAUGCUGUUACAUAUCAAUAUAAAUCUGUUAAGAAAAAUGGGAAGGAACUGUCUAAAAAAAAAUAUCACCAUAAAUAGGAUUCGGACAGUCUUUGAUGAAACGUCAGAAUAUGAAGUGGUAAGAGGGGGGGGGGGGGGGGGCUGUGCUAGUCUAAUUACCAUCACAUAUGAUGUCUGACGAACGUCAUAUCGGAUAUAUUGUUACGCAUAUAAACACCUGUUUGCUGAAUUGAAUAUCAAAAAUUAAAUAGUAAUUAAAUCUUAAGCGUAUGUAAAAUAAGAUUAAAACUAAUCUUCGGCGUAAAGCACGUAGAAAUCUGAUAUUCACCACGAGGUCACAAACUUUAAAAUUUUAAUGUAAAGAUCACACUAAUAUUUCUUUAUAGAAUAUUUCUAUUCUUUGAUAGGGACACUGAACAUCUUUUACACGUUAAAGAAACCCGAAAUUUACAAAAUAUAUCUAUCUAAGAUAUUCUCUUACUUCUCAAUAGUAACAGAAGAAAAACACGGUACUUAAACGUUUAGACGAACGCAGACGCACGCAAAACGUUUAGCACUGGGAAUAACAAAUGCACACUUUCAAACGCACGGUAAACAAACUAAACGGUAAACUAUGCACGCUUUAGAAAGUGUUUCAACAAACCCUCGUUGCACGAUAUACGCACGCACGAUAUACGAAAAACGCACGCACAAAAAACACUAUUUUUGACAACUGAAACGUUCACCCUACUGUAGUACAAUAACGCAUUUAAACGCUCAAUAUUUUUGAUAUUCCAAUAACCUUAGAUAUUUGCUAAUAUACCAGUGUCGUAUAAUACUAAAAGAAAUCAGAUAAAUUAUGAUUCAGGUACUAUUAAUGGGCUAAUCAGCAAAACUUUGAUGUAUCAUUCACGAAUUUGGUUAAACUCCAAAAAAAUGUCUUAGUCACAGUUCAUCUGCUAAUUCAUAUAGGACCACAUUCAUACAGUACACCGAAAUAUGCAUCAGUUAUGUACGUUGGUUUCCGGAAAAACAUAUGCGGACGCCAUGUCAAGAAAAUGAACAGUAGGUUUUAAAAUUUUGAAUUAUUUUUGUAAAUAUGAAGUACAUAUGUAUAACUGAAAAUAAAUCGAAAUGCUAUUCGACCCGCACGUAGUUCCUUGAUAGUAGCUAAGUCAUGUAUUGUCAUUUGAAGCAGUCUUUUGUGAAAUGUUUGUUGUCGUUGGUUCAGUUAUAUCAAACAUCUAACAUAUUGAUCAAGAACAUGAUAAAAGAGAGGCUAAAAGUACUAUUAACAAUCACACACUGUUGACAAGUAAUUAUUUAAAAUGGAAAUCAAAAGAAAGUAACUUGGCCAAAAUUCAGAUUGUGAUCAAGUUUUGGAUAUGUGUUCUAUAAGCAAACAUAAAAUACGCUAUAAUUCUUCGCUAAAUACAAAAAAUAAAUACUUUGGUGAUUAACAAGUUUUUUAAGAAAGAACAAAUACGUAACCUUGACAUGUUCAACUUUUCGAUGUCUGUGUAUAAAUAAAUAAAUCUAUUGAUUUAAAAUUAUUUUGUUUUGAAAAUGUUGUUUUUCAUAUGCAAUUAAUGUUAAUAUUACUUUACAUUUUGGAAUUAUUGACAUGGAAUAUAAUUUGUAUGCCAAGAUAUGCUUUGAAUGAUAUGCAGUGACACACACAUUAUCAUGUAUUUGAACAUAAUUUAAAACCUUGCAGACAAACUUUUUAGUUUUGAUUGAAAUACUUAUAAUGUCCCUUUCAAUCUAACUCUUUAAAUAAUAAAUCAUAACUGGAAUGAAGUCUAAGUGUACUGUAUGGAAACGUCGGUCGCUUUCUAUGGUAGAUAUAUAAAGGAUUAAACUUAUUAUAUGUAAAAUGAUAAGAAUCUUCUUGUUAAAAAGCAGUCUGUCAUAUAUUCUUAUCUUCUUUUUCCAAUCGUUUUAAUCAUCUAUGUGAAAAGAUGCAGGAUAUUUACCUCGCUAAAUGUCAAGACUACAUCCGUUUGAUCGAGCAAGGGCUUGGACGACAACUUGCACUUUCCAGUACCGUCUAUGAUCCGCAACAUGUUCAAUUUUUUAGUUUUUGAGUGUUCCAUUAAGGGGUUCCAUUUUUCUCAAUUCUGUGAAUAUUUCUCGUCAUCACAGACAAAGGUUGAUUAAUUGUAUAUUAUUUUGAUCUUAUUGUCAGUCAUAUACUCACGUUGAAUGAUUGACACACAUAAACCCACGACAACAUUCUUUUUGAAAACAGUCCGCAUCAAACGACAAUUGAUAAAUGGAUAACUGAACAAUAAAAGGGUUGCAUAGCAUUUUGAUUGGUUUUAAUAAAGCUUAUAUUUAACAUCCCAAAUUAACAAAACCCCUAAAAAACUUACUGUUUAUAAUUGGUAUCAUAUAUCAUUUAACCAAAAACAAACAUAUCUUUUUAACGACUUACAAGUUUUGAUGAACUAUAUAAAGUUGAUCCCCUGUGCAAUUGAGGUGUUAUAUGACACAUCAAAAUUAGCAACACACAAAUCGCCUUCAAUACGCUAACCAGGUCGUCAUCCUCACGAAUGAUCUUGGAAAUAUGUUACAUUAUGUUUUACAAAUUAUUUUUAAGCAACCGUAUGCGCAUAAUAUUUUCAAUUAAUUUAUUCUAAAAUAUAGUGAUUUAUUUAA
Long non-coding RNA from Ruditapes philippinarum (Manila clam), 8313 nucleotides. RefSeq lists it as uncharacterized. The transcript has 8 exons. The record is from RefSeq and is a predicted model, not a curated record. Lineage: Eukaryota; Metazoa; Mollusca; Bivalvia; Venerida; Veneridae.